RNAcentral lists this transfer RNA (87 nucleotides) under Sordaria macrospora k-hell. It matches the Rfam family "tRNA", at positions 6 to 65 of the family's 71-position model. From Rfam's summary of the family: Transfer RNA (tRNA) molecules are approximately 80 nucleotides in length. Their secondary structure includes four short double-helical elements and three loops (D, anti-codon, and T loops). The record is from Rfam by way of RNAcentral. Lineage: Eukaryota; Fungi; Ascomycota; Sordariomycetes; Sordariales; Sordariaceae.
AUUAGCUCAGCUGGUUAGAGCGUCGUACUAAUAUCUUGUCUUUGAGAUAUCAAGUCCAUGCGAAGGUCAACAGUUCAAUCCUGUUAU